RNAcentral lists this unclassified non-coding RNA (377 nucleotides) under uncultured Parachlamydiaceae bacterium. Its description in RNAcentral is "contains 16S-23S intergenic spacer region". The record is from RNAcentral. Lineage: Bacteria; Pseudomonadati; Chlamydiota; Chlamydiia; Parachlamydiales; Parachlamydiaceae.
UCCUGGUUAACCCAGGCAGUCUCAUUAGAGUUCCCACCUUAAAUGUUGGCAACUAAUGAUAAGGGUUGCGCUCGUUGCGGGACUUAACCCAACACCUCACGGCACGAGCUGACGACAGCCAUGCAGCACCUGUGCAGAGACCCCGAAGGGAGACACCAUCUCUGGUGUUGUCCUCUGCAUGUCAAGCCUGGGUAAGGUUCUUCGCGUUGCAUCGAAUUAAACCACAUGCUCCACUGCUUGUGCGGGUCCCCGUCAAUUCUUUUGAGUUUCACCCUUGCGAGCGUACUCCCCAGGCGGUAUACUUAUCGCGUUAGCUACGGCACAACCGGGGUUGAGUCCAGUUACACCAAGUAUACAUCGUUUAAGGCAAGGACUAC